UACAGAGGUCUCAACCGUUGUUCGGAUUUAUUGGGCGUAAAGGGUGCGUAGGCGGUCGCGUAAGUCGGGUGUGAAAUCCCAGGGCUCAACCCUGGAACUGCAUUCGAUACUGCGUGGCUUGGGUACUGGAGAGGAGACUGGAAUUUACGGUGUAGCAGUGAAAUGCGUAGAUAUCGUAAGGAAGACCAGUGGCGAAGGCGAGUCUCUGGACAGUUACCGACGCUGAGGCACGAAGGCCAGGGGAGCAAACGGG
RNAcentral lists this ribosomal RNA (253 nucleotides) under uncultured bacterium. Its description in RNAcentral is "partial 16S ribosomal RNA". It matches the Rfam family "Bacterial small subunit ribosomal RNA", at positions 524 to 776 of the family's 1533-position model. The record is from RNAcentral.